UGGCUUAUUUCACUUAGCAAAUUUUAUCCAUUUAUCUGCAAAUGCCACAAUUUCAUUCUCCUUUAAGGCUAAGUAAUAUUCCAUUGUGUAUAUGUACCACAUUUUCUUUAUCCAUUCAUCUGUUGAAGGGCAUCUAGGUUGGUUCCAUAGCUUAAAUAUUGUGAAUUGAGCUGCUAUAGACAUUGAUGUGGCUGUGUUACUGUAGUAUGCUGUUUUUUAAGUCCUUUGGGUAUAAACCAAAGAGUGGGAUAGCUGGGUCAAAUAGUAAAGAUUUUUUUUUUUUUUUUUUACAAUAGGUAGUAUUAACUAUCCUGAUGAAUACACCUGGGUCAGGUAUUAUUUUAGGGCUUCAGAAUAAAGCAGUCAGCAGGUAGUGUAUUAAGCAGACAGUUCCUGCCCUCCUGGAACCUCUAUUUUAGUGGAGGGAAGUUGGGAGGAGGGGCAGACAGACUUUCACAGAAUGAAGAAAUAAUUACGCAAGAGAGGAAAGUCUGAGGUGUCAUUGAAAGAACAAGUAGUAUGAUGUAAAGAGGAUCAGAUACUCUCACCUCUGGCUAUGCCAUCAUUUGGGUCUGUUUCUCCCUGUGUUCAAGGCUUGGCCCCGGAGUCUGUAGGAGGGGUGUGCUCUUGAAGGGGAUUGUCAGACCCUAACUGCUUUGCUCUUUCUCUAAAGUAUUCUAAAAUCAUAACAGAAUGGUAGGUGGUUUCUAUUCGUCAUUAAGGGAAGAAAAUAUAAACACAGAUGAACUUUACCACUAAUGUGAAAACUGGUAAUUUCAUAUGGAUGUCAAAAUGUGAGGGGCAGAAAAUGAUGAAGAAUUUUCACAACUUGUCUCCCAGAAAGCAAUGAAAAAAACCUACUAACUUCCUGAAGAAC
RNAcentral lists this long non-coding RNA (877 nucleotides) under Marmota monax (woodchuck). Lineage: Eukaryota; Metazoa; Chordata; Mammalia; Rodentia; Sciuridae. The record is from RNAcentral.